UAUGGCCAUAUUUUCUUUAGACUACCGGUUCCCAUAUGAUCACCAAAGAUAAGCAAUGUCAAGGCAGGUCAGUACCUAAAUGAGUGAUCUUUUGGGAAUACGAGGUGCUGUAAG
Molecule: non-coding RNA, 114 nt
Organism: Acanthosepion pharaonis
Lineage: Eukaryota; Metazoa; Mollusca; Cephalopoda; Sepiida; Sepiidae
Source: the annotation of a GenBank genome assembly